GAUAAACGCUGGCGGCGCACAUAAGACAUGCAAGUCGAACGGACGGAAAUUCUUGCUUGCAAGAAUGGAAGUUAGUGGCGGACUGGUGAGUAACACGUAAGCAAUCUGCCUAUCAGAGGGGAAUAACAGUGAGAAAUCAUUGCUAAUACCGCAUAUGCUUAGAGUAUCACAUGGUACAAUAAGGAAAGGAGCAAUCCGCUGAUAGAAGAGCUCGCGUCUGAUUAGCUAGUAGGUGGGGCAAUGGCCUACCUAGGCGACGAUCAGUAGCCGGACUGAGAGGUUGAACGGCCACAUUGGGACUGAGAUACGGCCCAGACUCCUACGGGAGGCAGCAGUCGGGAAUAUUGCGCAAUGGAGGGAACUCUGACGCAGUGACGCCGCGUAUAGGAAGAAGGUUUUCGGAUUGUAAACUAUUGUCGUUAGGGAAGAAAAAGACAGUACCUAAGGAGGAAGCUCCGGCUAACUAUGUGCCAGCAGCCGCGGUAAUACAUAGGGAGCAAGCGUUAUCCGGAUUUAUUGGGUGUAAAGGGUGCGUAGACGGGAAAUUAAGUUAGUUGUGAAAUUCCUUUGGCUUAACCAAGGAACUGCAACUAAAACUGGUAUUCUUGAGUGUCGGAGAGGAAAGUGGAAUUCCUAGUGUAGUGGUGAAAUGCGUAGAUAUUAGGAGGAACACCAGUGGCGAAGGCGACUUUCUGGACGAUAACUGACGUUGAGGCACGAAAGUGUGGGGAGCAAACAGGAUUAGAUACCCUGGUAGUCCACACUGUAAACGAUGGAUACUAGGUGUAGGCUGUGUUAAACAGUCUGUGCCGUCGCAAACGCAUUAAGUAUCCCACCUGGGGAGUACGACCGCAAGGUUGAAACUCAAAGGAAUUGACGGGGGCCCGCACAAGCAGUGGAGUAUGUGGUUUAAUUCGAAGCGACGCGAAGAAUCUUACCAGGGCUUGACAUGACAAUGAAUAUAUAAGAGAUUAUAUAGCUUUUCGGAGCAUUGUUGCAGGUGGUGCAUGGUUGUCGUCAGCUCGUGUCGUGAGAUGUUGGGUUAAGUCCCGCAACGAGCGCAACCCCUGUUGCUAGUUGCCAGCACAUAAUGGUGGGAACUCUAGCAAGACUGCCGGUGAUAAAUCGGAGGAAGGUGGGGAUGACGUCAAAUCAUCAUGCCCUUUAUGUCCUGGGCUACACACGUACUACAAUGGCUAUUACAGAGGGAAGCUAAGCCGCGAGGUGGAGCGAAACCCAAAAAAUAGUCUCAGUUCGGAUUGCAGGCUGAAAUUCGCCUGCAUGAAGCUGGAAUUGCUAGUAAUGGCAGGUCAGCAUACUGCCGUGAAUACGUUCCCGGGCCUUGUACACACCGCCCGUCACACCAUGAGAGUUGGGGAUGCCCGAAGCCUGUGAGCCAACGUAAGGGGCAGCAGUCGAAGGUAGAAUCAAUGAUUGGGGUG
Molecule: ribosomal RNA, 1442 nt
Filed under: uncultured Oscillospiraceae bacterium
Lineage: Bacteria; Bacillati; Bacillota; Clostridia; Eubacteriales; Oscillospiraceae
Description: bacterial SSU rRNA
Rfam family: Bacterial small subunit ribosomal RNA
Source: RNAcentral